GUGGGAGCCAACGUGCAGUCACAGGUGGAUACCCUUCGCCAUGUUAUCAGUCAGACAGGAGGAUACAGUGAAGGACUCACAGCCAACCAGAUGUACAGUCCGCAGGGCAUCAAUGCAAACGGUGGCUGGCAGGAUGCUCCGACCCCCCUCAUCAGUGACUUCGCCCACAGAAGGACCCGGAAGCGUUCACUCUGACACCUCCAACUGAUCCUCAACCCCCCGUCACUCCUCGUUCCUCUGCUUCCAACUUCUUCCACCACUGCACACCCAAACCACAUUUCCCAAAACCCCACGUGCCUACUGUAUGUAGUCACAUGGCAGGACACAGUUGGGAUGAGGGAUGACAUUUACGGACAAAUACUUAACUUUUCCUAUCUGACUACUGCAGCACCGUUAGCAGCCUGCAUAAGGGACUCACAUCCACACUUUGUACAGUUUCCACUCAAUGUCCAUGUUGCCUCUUUGUAUUUCUCUUACAUUAUAUUCACUCAGUCA
Long non-coding RNA from Etheostoma spectabile (orangethroat darter), 495 nucleotides. RefSeq lists it as uncharacterized. NCBI's taxonomy places the organism in Eukaryota, Metazoa, Chordata, Actinopteri, Perciformes, Percidae. The transcript is spliced from 3 exons. The record is from RefSeq and is a predicted model, not a curated record.